This 492-nucleotide ribosomal RNA is filed under the name uncultured bacterium. Its description in RNAcentral is "partial 16S ribosomal RNA". It matches the Rfam family "Bacterial small subunit ribosomal RNA", at positions 29 to 507 of the family's 1533-position model. The record is from RNAcentral.
AGUGAACGCUGGCGGUAGGCCUAACACAUGCAAGUCGAACGGCAGCACAGUAAGAGCUUGUUCUUACGGGUGGCGAGUGGCGGACGGGUGAGGAAUACAUCGGAAUCUACUUUUUCGUGGGGGAUAACGUAGGGAAACUUACGCUAAUACCGCAUACGACCUACGGGUGAAAGCAGGGGAUCUUCGGACCUUGCGCGAUUGAAUGAGCCGAUGUCGGAUUAGCUAGUUGGCGGGGUAAAGGCCCACCAAGGCGACGAUCCGUAGCUGGUCUGAGAGGAUGAUCAGCCACACUGGAACUGAGACACGGUCAAGACUCCUACGGGAGGCAGCAGUGGGGAAUAUUGGACAAUGGGCGCAAGCCUGAUCCAGCCAUACCGCGUGGGUGAAGAAGGCCUUCGGGUUGUAAAGCCCUUUUGUUGGGGAAGAAAAGCAGCAGGUUAAUACCCCGCUGUUCUGACGGUACCCAAAGAAUAAGCACCGGCUAACUUCGUG